RNAcentral lists this small RNA (161 nucleotides) under Arabidopsis thaliana (thale cress). Its description in RNAcentral is "ATSL208470". The record is from RNAcentral. Lineage: Eukaryota; Viridiplantae; Streptophyta; Magnoliopsida; Brassicales; Brassicaceae.
AACAACAUAUAUCUAAAUCCUCCAGCAAUUUGAAAUGCAAUCAGUUUCAAGUCAGGAACUGACAAAACGGUGAAAACAACGAAACACGAUUUCAACGCCGAUGAAGAGGCAAAAACAGAACAUACUUGACAAAAAUCUUAAGAACACAACAAAAACCCACA